RNAcentral lists this ribosomal RNA (495 nucleotides) under Triticum aestivum (bread wheat). RNAcentral's name for it is "partial small subunit ribosomal RNA". Lineage: Eukaryota; Viridiplantae; Streptophyta; Magnoliopsida; Poales; Poaceae. The record is from RNAcentral.
AUGAACCGAGACAACACCAAGAGCAUGAAGCUCGCCGCAACACAACGGCAUCCAUGGAAGGGUCUUGAGCAUGCACAACAACAUGGACGACACACCAAACGAUGGGCAGGGGUGGAUAAAUGGCAGCAAAGGGCUCGGCGAAGAGGCGAAGUCGAUUGUGGUAGGGGGUGGAUGGGAGGCGAUGAGAGAACUGAAGCAAACUCGGGAGGUCAAAGCAGAGGGCAAAGGAAUCACCAUAUGGACAUGAAGGGGAUGCAGACCGCGCCAUCAACAUGGAGGAGCGGCGUGAGUGCGCCGCCGCAGUCGUGGUCGGACGAACCGGCAGAGAUUUCUCCCCAUCCCCAAGUCCAACGAGGAGGAGGAGGUAGUACAACGCCACCAUGGUGGGACGCGGCGCCCGCAGGCGUCGCCGCUGGCAGCCGACGGCCGCUGGCACGGAUUUCUCCAUGCCUCCUCACACCCUCCACCACCCAAACUCCGACUAACCGGACAUAG